Molecule: ribosomal RNA, 253 nt
Filed under: uncultured bacterium
Lineage: Bacteria
Description: partial 16S ribosomal RNA
Rfam family: Bacterial small subunit ribosomal RNA
Source: RNAcentral
UACAGAGGGGGCAAGCGUUGUUCGGAAUUACUGGGCGUAAAGGGCGCGUAGGCGGCCUUCUAAGUCGAACGUGAAAUCCCCGGGCUCAACCCGGGAACUGCGUCCGAUACUGGAAGGCUUGAAUCCGGGAGAGGGAUGUGGAAUUCCAGGUGUAGCGGUGAAAUGCGUAGAUAUCAGGAGGAACACCGGUGGCGAAGGCGGCGACCUGGGUCGAGACUGACGCUGAGGCGCGAAAGCGUGGGGAGCAAACAGG